Molecule: unclassified non-coding RNA, 26 nt
Filed under: Mus musculus (house mouse)
Lineage: Eukaryota; Metazoa; Chordata; Mammalia; Rodentia; Muridae
Description: oocyte_clustered_small_RNA4921
Source: RNAcentral
UAGCUGCCCUCGCCCAGUGCUCCACC